Molecule: transfer RNA, 102 nt
Filed under: Caudoviricetes sp.
Lineage: Duplodnaviria; Heunggongvirae; Uroviricota; Caudoviricetes
Description: tRNA-Ile
Rfam family: tRNA
About the family: Transfer RNA (tRNA) molecules are approximately 80 nucleotides in length. Their secondary structure includes four short double-helical elements and three loops (D, anti-codon, and T loops).
Source: RNAcentral
GAACAGGUUGCUAAUGUUGGCUCUAGGGCGGAGCUUAUACCUCCGUAAAGCAAUCACCAGAUAAGUGAUGUAACGUGGGUUCGAUUCCCACCCUGUUCACCA